GUAGUCCACGCUGUAAACGAUGGACACUAGGCUUGGCGGGUCUUGACCCCUGCCGAGCCGGAGCUAACGCAAUAAGUGUCCCGCCUGGGAAGUACGGUCGCAAGACUAAAACUCAAAGGAAUUGACGGGGGCCCGCACAAGCGGUGGAUCAUGUGGUUUAAUUCGAAGCAACGCGAAGAACCUUACCUGGGUUUGACAUCGCCGGACAAACGUAGAGAUACGUCUUUCGUAGCAAUACGACCGGUAGACAGGUGCUGCAUGGCUGUCGUCAGCUCGUGUGGUGACAUGUUGGGUUAAGUCCCGCAACGAGCGCAACCCUUGUCUUUAGUUGCCAGCAUUAGGUUGGGCACUCUAAAGAGACUGCCGUGGUUAACACGGA
RNAcentral lists this ribosomal RNA (379 nucleotides) under uncultured bacterium. Its description in RNAcentral is "bacterial SSU rRNA". It matches the Rfam family "Bacterial small subunit ribosomal RNA", at positions 790 to 1167 of the family's 1533-position model. The record is from RNAcentral.